AUUAAAUGAGAGUUUGAUCCUGGCUCAGGACGAACGCUGGCGGCGUGCCUAAUACAUGCAAGU
RNAcentral lists this ribosomal RNA (63 nucleotides) under Streptococcus equinus. RNAcentral's name for it is "partial 16S rRNA. Bacterial SSU". It matches the Rfam family "Bacterial small subunit ribosomal RNA", at positions 1 to 62 of the family's 1533-position model. Lineage: Bacteria; Bacillati; Bacillota; Bacilli; Lactobacillales; Streptococcaceae. The record is from RNAcentral.